Molecule: non-coding RNA, 64 nt
Organism: Cavia porcellus (domestic guinea pig)
Lineage: Eukaryota; Metazoa; Chordata; Mammalia; Rodentia; Caviidae
Source: Rfam
GGGGAUUUAGCUCAGCGGCAUAAGCGCCUGCCUUGCAAGCAGGCACUCGUGAGUUCGAUCCCCG